UGAAAUUCUAAAAGACAAAAUUAACACAAAUGCACUUUGAUUUCUGGUGUAAGUUUCCAUGUUUUAGCUGUACCUGUGACACAGGACACGAGAGAACGUGCUCAUGUGAACACAAGUGAAGGACACCAUGGGCACUUGCCACACAGAUCCCAGCAAGUGGACUGUGUACAGGGCAUUUCUGCUGAAGCGCUAUGUCUGAUUUUCUGCAUACGGCCCCAUUCCUUUUCCACAAGAGAUGCCUGUACCAACCCAUGGUGGGGGAAAGGACAAAGAUGAGAUCCUGAGCAACUUGAGGAAUAUGGUAAUAGCAGCAGACACAUUCCCCUUGCAUCACAAUGGUCUGUGGUACCGCCUCUGCACCUUGGCCCAAGACCUAACAGCCACAAAAUAAGGUUCAUCUCCUAGCCAGAAUCAAGAGAGGAAGACACAGCAGCCUCACUGUUCCCACAGAGGUGAGGUCUGGAAGGGAUCACCCAGGCCGGGAGACCUGUUUGGAGUGUGCAGUCAUCCUCCUCUCAUUAUUUCCUGAAACUCACAGAAAAACCUUAAGGCAGCCUCUGUGCUUCCAUCCCUUCCAGUCUUGGAUACAGAAAAAUAAUGGACUUCUAUAAGAGUUGCAACACCACGUCGUCUACUAGACAACAAACAGUGCAGGUGUCAUCCCUGGAAACACCCAUAAAAACGCAAGUCAAAUGACCACACCUGUAUUUCAAGGUUGCAAAGACGAGGGCCAUGAAAUGGCACUACCACAUUGAUGGGUAUGAUUCAUUGUAUGACA
Molecule: long non-coding RNA, 778 nt
Organism: Leopardus geoffroyi (Geoffroy's cat)
Lineage: Eukaryota; Metazoa; Chordata; Mammalia; Carnivora; Felidae
Exons: 5
Source: RefSeq, a predicted model, not a curated record